This 45-nucleotide non-coding RNA is filed under the name Schistosoma mattheei. Lineage: Eukaryota; Metazoa; Platyhelminthes; Trematoda; Strigeidida; Schistosomatidae. The record is from RNAcentral.
AUCCAUCUGACGAGUCUCAAACAGGACGAGACCCGCGUCCUGGAU